This 492-nucleotide ribosomal RNA is filed under the name uncultured bacterium. RNAcentral's name for it is "partial 16S ribosomal RNA". It matches the Rfam family "Bacterial small subunit ribosomal RNA", at positions 29 to 507 of the family's 1533-position model. The record is from RNAcentral.
AGUGAACGCUGGCGGUAGGCCUAACACAUGCAAGUCGAACGGCAGCACAGUAAGAGCUUGCUCUUACGGGUGGCGAGUGGCGGACGGGUGAGGAAUACAUCGGAAUCUACUUUUUCGUGGGGGAUAACGUAGGGAAACUUACGCUAAUACCGCAUACGACCUACGGGUGAAAGCAGGGGAUCUUCGGACCUUGCGCGAUUGAAUGAGCCGAUGUCGGAUUAGCUAGUUGGCGGGGUAAAGGCCCACCAAGGCGACGAUCCGUAGCUGGUCUGAGAGGAUGAUCAGCCACACUGGAACUGAGACACGGUCAAGACUCCUACGGGAGGCAGCAGUGGGGAAUAUUGGACAAUGGGCGCAAGCCUGAUACAGCCAUACCGCGUGGGUGAAGAAGGCCUUCGGGUUGUAAAGCCCUUUUGUUGGGAAAGAAAAGCAGCAGGUUAAUACCCCGCUGUUCUGACGGUAACCAAAGAAUAAGCACCGGCUAACUUCGUG